This is a long non-coding RNA of Oncorhynchus tshawytscha (Chinook salmon), 921 nucleotides long. The record is from Ensembl. NCBI's taxonomy places the organism in Eukaryota, Metazoa, Chordata, Actinopteri, Salmoniformes, Salmonidae.
CAAAAAUGGAUGCCUAACAGAGAGGACAAAAAUGGAUGCCUAACAGAGAGGACAAAAAUGGAUGCCUAACAGAGAGGACAAAAAUUGAUGCCUAACAGAGUGGACAAAAAUGUAUGCUUAAUUCAAGUGGUAUACACAGUAGCAAUUAUGUUUUACUCAGUUGCUUUAUGACUCUAAAACCUAAUUUAAAGAAUAUUUCACUCGAAACUGAGAUUUGGUGAACUCCGUCAGAUUAGUCUAAAAUCUCAAAAGAAUCAGGAUUGAGUAGGGUCAGCUAUGCCAUAAGGACCCCUUUUCGUUAGAUUACGAUAGAAUAUGAAUUUUGGUUAAAAUAUGUUACAUUUAAGUCACAGAGGGCUCUUGCAUAAAACUACAUAAGAUUGCGUUUCAGUUAAUAUCCAUUAUUACCAUUUUUUAUUUUUAUAAAAAAAUAAUUUUGGGGAGUUUGAAAUUGGGAUCCUUUGCUCAGGACAGGGCAUUUCCAGGCAUAGAGCCGACAUGGAAAUUAAUAAUAUUGAGAGUAUUUAGAAGAUUUGAGAAAGAAAAAAAAAUAUAUAUAUGUGUGUGUGUGUGUGUGUGUGUGUGUGUGUGUGUGUGUGUGUGUGUGUGUGUGUGUGUGUGUGUGUGUGUGUGUGUGUGUGUGUGUGUGUGUGCUAUGCCAGUGGAUCUAUGACACUGUGACCUUGUGAGUGUCCCUGUGAGGGGGUGGACUGGGGCAGUGGAUCUAUGACACUGUGACCUUGUGAGUGUCCCCGGGGGGAGUGGACUGGGGCAGUGGAUCUAUGACACUGUGACCUUGUGAGUGUCCCGGGGGAGUGGACUGGGGCAGUGGAUCUAUGACACUGUGACCUUGUGAUUGUCCCAGGGGGGGGUGGACUGGACCAGUGGAUCUAUGACACUGUGACCUUGUGAGUGUCCCAG